RNAcentral lists this ribosomal RNA (496 nucleotides) under uncultured bacterium. RNAcentral describes it as "partial 16S ribosomal RNA". It matches the Rfam family "Bacterial small subunit ribosomal RNA", at positions 29 to 507 of the family's 1533-position model. The record is from RNAcentral.
AUGAACGCUGGCGGCGUGCCUAAUACAUGCAAGUCGAGCGAACAGACGAGGAGCUUGCUCCUCUGACGUUAGCGGCGGACGGGUGAGUAACACGUGGAUAACCUACCUAUAAGACUGGGAUAACUUCGGGAAACCGGAGCUAAUACCGGAUAAUAUAUUUAACCGCAUGUUUCAAUAGUUAAAGACGGUUUUGCUGUCACUUAUAGAUGGAUCCGCGCCGCAUUAGCUAGUUGGUAAGGUAACGGCUUACCAAGGCAACGAUGCGUAGCCGACCUGAGAGGGUGAUCGGCCACACGGGAACUGAGACACGGUCCAGACUCCUACGGGAGGCAGCAGUAGGGAAUCUUCCGCAAUGGGCGAAAGCAUGACGGAGCAACGCCGCGUGAGUGAUGAAGGUCUUCGGAUCGUAAAACUCUGUUAUUAGGGAAGAACAAAUGUGUAAGUAACUAUGCACGUCUUGACGGUACCUAAUCAGAAAGCCACGGCUAACUACGUG